UCAACCCUGGAACGGCCCUCGAUACUGGUUGUCUUGAGUCCGGAAGAGGAGAGUGGAAUACCCAGUGUAGAGGUGAAAUUCGUAGAUAUUGGGUGGAACACCAGUGGCGAAGGCGGCUCUCUGGUCCGGUACUGACGCUGAGGCGCGAAAGCGUGGGGAGCAAACAGGAUUGGAUACCCUGGUAGUCCACGCCGUAAACGAUGAGUGCUAGGUGUUGGGGUUCUUAGAACCGCAGUGCCGCCGCUAACGCAUUAAGCUCUCCGCCUGGGGAGUACGGCCGCAAGGUUAAAACUCAAAGAAAUUGACGGGGGCCCGCACAAGCGGUGGAGCAUGUGGUUUAAUUCGACGCAACGCGCAGAACCUUACCUACCCUUGACAUCCUGGUCGCGUUUUCCGGAGACGGAUUACUUCAGUUAGGCUGGACCAGUGACAGGUGCUGCAUGGCUGUCGUCAGCUCGUGUCGUGAGAUGUUGGGUUAAGUCCCGCAACGAGCGCAACCCUCAUCCUUAGUUGCCAUCAGGUCUGGCUGGGCACUCUAAGGAAACUGCCGGUAGCAAGCCGGAGGAAGGUGGGGAUGACGUCAAGUCCUCAUGGCCCUUACGGGUAGGGCUACACACGUGCUACAAUGGCGGUUACAGUGGGAUAAUCCCCAAAAACCGUCUCAGUUCGGAUUGUCUUCUGCAACUCGAAGGCAUGAAGUCGGAAUCGCUAGUAAUCGUGGAUCAGCAUGCCACGGUGA
RNAcentral lists this ribosomal RNA (739 nucleotides) under uncultured Alphaproteobacteria bacterium. RNAcentral describes it as "bacterial SSU rRNA". It matches the Rfam family "Bacterial small subunit ribosomal RNA", at positions 609 to 1365 of the family's 1533-position model. The record is from RNAcentral. Lineage: Bacteria; Pseudomonadati; Pseudomonadota; Alphaproteobacteria.